GAGAGCAAGAUGGAGGAAGUUGACUGAGGUUGUUGUUAUGGUUUCGUUUUGUCCUCAACCCUGAGAGUUAGCAAAUGAGUGUGUCUGCUCUAGUAGUCUUUUGAACUUUAUCUUGUUAUAGUCUUUUUAUGUUAUGAACAUUUUGUACUUAAGUGGAUGUGUGGAUAUGGCUUAAUGAUAAUCCUGGGUUCUGUUUAUGUUGGGU
This 205-nucleotide unclassified non-coding RNA is filed under the name Hevea brasiliensis (rubber tree). Lineage: Eukaryota; Viridiplantae; Streptophyta; Magnoliopsida; Malpighiales; Euphorbiaceae. The record is from RNAcentral.